CGGAGGGUGCAAGCGUUAUCCGGAUUCACUGGGUUUAAAGGGUGCGUAGGUGGGUCUGUAAGUCAGUGGUGAAAUCCCCGGGCUUAACUUGGGAACUGCCGUUGAUACUAUAGAUCUUGAAUAUCGUGGAGGUAAGCGGAAUAUGUCAUGUAGCGGUGAAAUGCUUAGAUAUGACAUAGAACACCAAUUGCGAAGGCAGCUUACUACACGAUCAUUGACACUGAGGCACGAAAGCGUGGGGAGCAAACAGGAUUAGAUACCCUGGUAGUCCACGCCCUAAACUAUGGAUACUCGACAUCAGCGAUACACAGUUGGUGUCUGAGCGAAAAGCAUUAAGUAUCCCACCUGGGAAGUACGAUCGCAAGAUUG
Molecule: ribosomal RNA, 369 nt
Filed under: uncultured organism
Description: bacterial SSU rRNA
Rfam family: Bacterial small subunit ribosomal RNA
Source: RNAcentral